AGACACGCUGGCGGCGUGCUUAACACAUGCAAGUCGAACGGAACUUAUUGGAUCAAGACUUCGGUCAAGUGAAUUUAAGCUUAGUGGCGGACGGGUGAGUAACGCGUGAGUAACCUGCCUUUCAGAGGGGGAUAACGUUCCGAAAGGGACGCUAAUACCGCAUAACAUGUAGAGUUCGCAUGGACAUUACAUCAAAGAUUUAUCGCUGAAAGAUGGACUCGCGUCUGAUUAGCUAGUUGGAGGGGUAACGGCCCACCAAGGCGACGAUCAGUAGCCGAACUGAGAGGUUGAUCGGCCACAUUGGGACUGAGACACGGCCCAGACUCCUACGGGAGGCAGCAGUGGGGGAUAUUGCGCAAUGGGGGAAACCCUGACGCAGCAAUGCCGCGUGAAGGAAGAAGGUCUUCGGAUCGUAAACUUUUGUCUUCAGGGACGAUAAUGACGGUACCUGAGGAGGAAGCCACGGCUAACUACGUG
Molecule: ribosomal RNA, 477 nt
Filed under: uncultured bacterium
Lineage: Bacteria
Description: bacterial SSU rRNA
Rfam family: Bacterial small subunit ribosomal RNA
Source: RNAcentral